UGGGGCGUCGCCAAGCGGUAAGGCACCGGCCUUUGACGCCGGUAUUCGCAGGUUCAAAUCCUGCCGCCCCAGCCA
Molecule: transfer RNA, 75 nt
Filed under: Oscillospiraceae bacterium
Lineage: Bacteria; Bacillati; Bacillota; Clostridia; Eubacteriales; Oscillospiraceae
Description: tRNA-Gln
Rfam family: tRNA
About the family: Transfer RNA (tRNA) molecules are approximately 80 nucleotides in length. Their secondary structure includes four short double-helical elements and three loops (D, anti-codon, and T loops).
Source: RNAcentral